CAGUAGCCGCGGUAAUACGUAGGUCCCGAGCGUUGUCCGGAUUUAUUGGGCGUAAAGGGAGCGCAGGCGGUUUAGUAAGUCUGAAGUUAAAGGCAUUGGCUCAACCAAUUUAUGCUUUGGAAACUGUUAGACUUGAGUGCAGAAGGGAAGAGUGGAAUUCCAUGUGUAGCGGUGAAAUGCGUAGAUAUAUGGAGGAACACCGGUGGCGAAAGCGGCUCUCUGGUCUGUCACUGACGCUGAGGCUCGAAAGCGUGGGUAGCGAACAGGAUUAGAUACCCCAGUAGUCCCGGUCUCUUAUACA
This 301-nucleotide ribosomal RNA is filed under the name uncultured bacterium. Its description in RNAcentral is "partial 16S ribosomal RNA". It matches the Rfam family "Bacterial small subunit ribosomal RNA", at positions 509 to 808 of the family's 1533-position model. The record is from RNAcentral.